GGAGAUGCAAAAUUGAGAACAUAGCAAUAGCCAACCAAGAUUAACCCAAACUGCAAUCGUUUUUGUAGAAGUUUGGUAUCAACUUCAGAAUAUGUACCGUCACAAACAAAGCUGCUGUUACGUGCAAAUAUAAGGCACUGUGAGGAGCGAAGAUCAUGAAAACAUUACCUAGGUUAAGUUUAAAUAUACUCUUUCCUCUCUAUUGUGUGU
This 210-nucleotide long non-coding RNA is filed under the name Capsicum annuum. Its description in RNAcentral is "long non-coding RNA (CANN_LNC001664)". Lineage: Eukaryota; Viridiplantae; Streptophyta; Magnoliopsida; Solanales; Solanaceae. The record is from RNAcentral.